AGUGAACGCUGGCGGUAGGCCUAACACAUGCAAGUCGAACGGCAGCACAGUAAGAGCUUGCUCUUACGGGUGGCGAGUGGCGGACGGGUGAGGAAUACAUCGGAAUCUACUUUUUCGGGGGGGAUAACGUAGGGAAACUUACGCUAAUACCGCAUACGACCUACGGGUGAAAGCAGUGGAUCUUCUGACCUUGCGCGAUUGAAUUAGCCGAUGUCGGAUUAGCUAGUUGGCGGGGUAAAGGCCCACCAAGGCGACGAUCCGUAGCUGGUCUGAGAGGAUGAUCAGCCACACUGGAACUGAGACACGGUCCAGACUCCUACGGGAGGCAGCAGUGGGGAAUAUUGGACAAUGGGCGCAAGCCUGAUACAGCCAUACCGCGUGGGUGAAGAAGGCCUUCGGGUUGUAAAGCCCUUUUGUUGGGAAAGAAAAGCAGCAGGUUAAUACCCAGCUGUUCUGACGGUAACCAAAGAAUAAGCACCGGCUAACUUCGUG
This 492-nucleotide ribosomal RNA is filed under the name uncultured bacterium. RNAcentral's name for it is "partial 16S ribosomal RNA". It matches the Rfam family "Bacterial small subunit ribosomal RNA", at positions 29 to 507 of the family's 1533-position model. The record is from RNAcentral.